Molecule: non-coding RNA, 30 nt
Filed under: Rattus norvegicus (Norway rat)
Lineage: Eukaryota; Metazoa; Chordata; Mammalia; Rodentia; Muridae
Source: RNAcentral
UAGAUCCAGGACUAUGAAGCCAUACUGUGU